Non-coding RNA from Pelobates cultripes (western spadefoot toad), 494 nucleotides. The record is from the annotation of a GenBank genome assembly. Lineage: Eukaryota; Metazoa; Chordata; Amphibia; Anura; Pelobatidae.
GUUUAAUAUACAUAUAUCUGGUUUGACAUGAAAGCCAUGUUUCUCCUGAACAAAAUGAUAUAUGAUAAGUGUGGGUGCACAUAAUAUGAAAGGUGUGAAUUAUGCCUGAGCAGACAUUUAGCGCAAAUUCAAGGUUUUGUUUACGUUUUGUUUUGAUCACAACUUGUAAAACUGCCUCAGUCCUUAAGGGGUUAAGCUAGAUAAAGUAUUUAAUAUCUAAUCCAACCUCGACAAAGAAGGUGUCUAACGAUACCUCUAGCAAUGAUGAUAAGUUACCACCAGAUUGAUGGUGUGUUUUACCUGUAUCAUCAGGUAAAACACACAAUCAAUUCUGAUGCUGUAGGGGUCAAUGUGAGCAGAAGACUAGUGAAAAGAACUUGGCCUCAGAGGACAGAGUGUUACUUCUUGCCAGGGACCAAUAGGCUUGGUAAUACAUGAUACAAUACUUCCCGAAUAUCCAACUUUUUACCAUUUCAAUUCUUGGGAAUGUACAC